GGGCCCGCACAAGCAGUGGAGUAUGUGGUUUAAUUCGAAGCAACGCGAAAAACCUUACCAGGUCUUGACAUCGCGUGUAAGCGCUAGAGAUAGCGCCCUCCCUUCGGGGACACAAAGACAGGUGGUGCAUGGUUGUCGUCAGCUCGUGUCGUGAGAUGUUGGGUUAAGUCCCGCAACGAGCGCAACCCUUGCUGUUAGUUGCUACAUUUAGUUGAGCACUCUAGCAGGACUGCCGUUGACAAAACGGAGGAAGGUGGGGACGACGUCAAAUCAUCAUGCCCCUUAUGACCUGGGCUACACACGUACUACAAUGGCCGUAAACAGAGGGUAGCAAAGCCGCAAGGUGGAGCUAACCCCAAAAGCGGUCUCAGUUCAGAUUGCAGGCUGCAACUCGCCUGCAUGAAGUCGGAAUUGCUAGUAAUCGCGGAUCAGCAUGCCG
RNAcentral lists this ribosomal RNA (439 nucleotides) under uncultured Bacillota bacterium. Its description in RNAcentral is "bacterial SSU rRNA". It matches the Rfam family "Bacterial small subunit ribosomal RNA", at positions 917 to 1359 of the family's 1533-position model. The record is from RNAcentral. Lineage: Bacteria; Bacillati; Bacillota.